Ornithorhynchus anatinus (platypus) is the source of this 133-nucleotide small nucleolar RNA. The record is from RefSeq and is a predicted model, not a curated record. NCBI's taxonomy places the organism in Eukaryota, Metazoa, Chordata, Mammalia, Monotremata, Ornithorhynchidae.
CCCUUCUCAGGAUCACACCUGGAGAGUUUCCAGUAUUCUACCAGUCUUGAAUAUGGGAGGGAGAGUCAAGCAGAGGCAUUUCCAUUCCUAGCUUGGCCAGUGGCUAGCGAGUGGAAGGCAACUUGCGACAAGU